CCUAAGGUAGCGAAAUUCCUUGUCGGGUAAGUUCCGACCUGCACGAAUGGCGUAAUGAUGGCCAGGCUGUCUCCACCCGAGACUCAGUGAAAUUGAACUCGCUGUGAAGAUGCAGUGUACCCGCGGCAAGACGGAAAGACCCCGUGAACCUUUACUACAGCUUGACACUGAACAUUGAGCCUUGAUGUGUAGGAUAGGUGGGAGGCUUUGAAGCGCGGACGCCAGUUCGCGUGGAGCCAACCUUGAAAUACCACCCUUUAAUGUUUGAUGUUCUAACGUAGGCCCGUAAUCCGGGCUGCGGACAGUGUCUGGUGGGUAGUUUGACUGGGGCGGUCUCCUCCUAAAGAGUAACGGAGGAGCACGAAGGUCAGCUAAUCACGGUCGGACAUCGUGAGGUUAGUGCAAUGGCAUAAGCUGGCUUGACUGCGAGAGUGACGGCUCGAGCAGGUGCGAAAGCAGGUCAUAGUGAUCCGGUGGUUCUGAAUGGAAGGGCCAUCGCUCAACGGAUAAAAGGUACUCCGGGGAUAACAGGCUGAUACCGCCCAAGAGUUCAUAUCGACGGCGGUGUUUGGCACCUCGAUGUCGGCUCAUCACAUCCUGGGGCUGAAGUAGGUCCCAAGGGUACGGCUGUUCGCCGUUUAAAGUGGUACGCGAGCUGGGUUUAGAACGUCGUGAGACAGUUCGGUCCCUAUCUGCCGUGGGCGCUGGAGAAUUGAGGGGGGCUGCUCCUAGUACGAGAGGACCGGAGUGGACGCACCACUGGUGUUCGGGUUGUCAUGCCAAUGGCAUUGCCCGGUAGCUAAGUGCGGAAAAGAUAAGUGCUGAAAGCAUCUAAGCACGAAACUUGCCCCGAGAUGAGUUCUCCCUGACUCCUUUGAGAGUCCUGAAGGGACGUUGAAGACUACGACGUUGAUAGGCCGGGUGUGUAAGCGCAGCGAUGCGUUGAGCUAACCGGUACUAAUGACCCGUGAGGCUUAACCUUACAACGCCAGAGGCGUUU
This 1000-nucleotide ribosomal RNA is filed under the name Mesorhizobium sp. Its description in RNAcentral is "partial 23S ribosomal RNA". It matches the Rfam family "Bacterial large subunit ribosomal RNA", at positions 1950 to 2925 of the family's 2925-position model. Lineage: Bacteria; Pseudomonadati; Pseudomonadota; Alphaproteobacteria; Hyphomicrobiales; Phyllobacteriaceae. The record is from RNAcentral.